UGAGCUACCAUGCAGCCGAGCGGUAGAGUAUCUUCGGAUACUUGAGAGCGGCGUACGGGUGCGGAACACGUGUGCAACCUGCCUUUAUCUGAGGGAUAGCCUUUCGAAAGGAAGAUUAAUACCUCAUAAUAUACUGAUUGGCAUCAAUUAGUAUUGAAAGCUCCGGCGGAUAGAGAUGGGCACGCGCAAGAUUAGAUAGUUGGUGAGGUAACGGCUCACCAAGUCAAUGAUCUUUAGGGGGCCUGAGAGGGUGAUCCCCCACACUGGUACUGAGACACGGACCAGACUCCUACGGGAGGCAGCAGUGAGGAAUAUUGGACAAUGGGUGCAAGCCUGAUCCAGCCAUCCCGCGUGAAGGACGACGGCCCUAUGGGUUGUAAACUUCUUUUGUGCAGGGAUAAACCUACUCUCGUGAGGGUAGCUGAAGGUACUGUACGAAUAAGCACCGGCUAACUCCGUGCCAGCAGCCGCGGUAAUACGGAGGGUGCAAGCGUUAUCCGGAUUUAUUGGGUUUAAAGGGUCCGCAGGCGGGCUAGUAAGUCAGUGGUGAAAGCCUACAGCUUAACUGUAGAACUGCCGUUGAUACUGCUAGUCUUGAGUAUAGUUGAGGUAGCUGGAAUGAGUAGUGUAGCGGUGAAAUGCAUAGAUAUUACUCAGAACACCGAUUGCGAAGGCAGGUUACCAAGUUAUAACUGACGCUGAGGGACGAAACUGGG
Molecule: ribosomal RNA, 716 nt
Filed under: Riemerella anatipestifer
Lineage: Bacteria; Pseudomonadati; Bacteroidota; Flavobacteriia; Flavobacteriales; Weeksellaceae
Description: bacterial SSU rRNA
Rfam family: Bacterial small subunit ribosomal RNA
Source: RNAcentral